Molecule: long non-coding RNA, 1289 nt
Organism: Manihot esculenta (cassava)
Lineage: Eukaryota; Viridiplantae; Streptophyta; Magnoliopsida; Malpighiales; Euphorbiaceae
Exons: 2
Source: RefSeq, a predicted model, not a curated record
UUAUGCAUUGGGCCUUGUGUCCUGGAUUUAGGCCCAAUAUUGGCCCAUUGGUAGCACUGCACUUCCUGUAUGGCGGGAAAGUUGGCGGCAAUCAUCUCAUCUGUGGUUCUCCUAACAAUUAGGCAUUGCAGAAGUAACUAAUCUCUUCUUCAAACCCUAACUAACGCUUCACCAACACAUAAUCAAUAAGAAACUGAUUCUUAUUCCAUUGUUGUCUCCAUCUCAAUGCUAGAUCAACCUCUCAAUCUCAGAGACAAUACUGAGAUUAGGGUUUUAAUGCCGCUCUCUCCCUCAUGUGUGCUUCACUGCGCCACAGGGGUGCCCUCUUAUUUGCUAUUAUGUACUGCUGCUAGAUUCAUGGUUUCAGCUUCCCGCUGUAGAUAUUUGGUCCUGUCAAUGCUUGUUUUGAAUGUUAAAUCAACUGAUAGAAGAACCACUGCUGCCUGUCCAGACGAUUCUCCCUUAACGACCAUGAGUUAACACUGAUAUUUGCUGCUGGUGGAUUUUUUUCCCGUUGCAUCUACCAUCUAUCAAUCAGGACUGGUGCCAUCCGCUCUUCUUCUGACUCUUGAAAGUGGAAGUUCAAGCUUUAAAGCUCAUCUUCCAGCAUUUGCUGUUCAAAAGGAUCCCCAAUUCUUCCAUCAAAUAUUCAACUUUUUCCCGGAUACUCAGGUUUAAAUACCUACAGAUUUGCUGUUUGCUUACUGGCUUCAUAUAAUUCAGAAAACACUAGUUUUCUCGACGAAUGGCAUAAGACUAGCUAAAGAGGGUCAGUGAGACUUAUCAAAUGUGUGAUCUUAUCAGCUCUUACUACUCUCAUAGAGCUUAAUAGCAAAAAUGAAGGCUUUACUCUUUCUUAUUCUUAGGAGAAUCACCCCACUCCAAAAUAGCUGCAAAGCUGGCAUCCUGAUCUGCGAUCACUAGUGAUUCCAAUGAAUUAAAGGCUGCGAAGGGCUGACAAUUUGGCGAAACGAAGACUAGAUAUCUCCUUAAGCGAGAUAUCUUUAACUCCUUAGUUCCUUAGAAAAGGAUAAGAAGGGAGAAGCACGAAAAACCCUAGCUUUCUGUCAAUCCUUAGCUCCAACUUGCAUCAGAUCCUUUUGCCCCAUACUCGAUAGUUGGCAAAGAACUAUACCAGUUUUCAGGACCGGAGCUAUCAACCACUCAGCCAUCUCUCCUUAUCAAUGCAAACUGCAAAGAGUGUGUUGAGAAUAUAUCAUGUUCUCCCCCAUUGUAAAAUUGUUCAUUAAAUGUAAUGGUAGAACUGUAGAAACAUAACUUUGGUUGUU